This 441-nucleotide long non-coding RNA is filed under the name Heterocephalus glaber (naked mole-rat). RNAcentral describes it as "lncRNA (ENSHGLG00100041129.1)". Lineage: Eukaryota; Metazoa; Chordata; Mammalia; Rodentia; Bathyergidae. The record is from RNAcentral.
UUCCAAGAGAGGCUCCCAGUCAAUGGGGUGGGGCGGGGAAGAGGAAGGGCCCCAGGGUUGGAUGCUUCUGCUGCUGAGUUGGUGGGUCUGAGGGCAGGGCCCAGGGUGGAUGGCACAACCCCUGGUUUAGCUGAGCGCAUGAGUUGUAGGAAUUGGAAAGAGAAGCAGGGGGCAGAUUUGAAGUAGAGGAAAAAGACCAGUCGCUGAAGGAAAAUAAGAAGAAUCAGUGUCUGUGCAGGAGGACUUGAGGGAGGGAACAGUAAAACAGGAAGCUAGGAGGAACAACGGCACCCAGCCAUGGUGAGGUCUGCUCCACACCCUGCCUCGACUCUUCUCUUGCUGCUUCCUGGAUGCCAUGGAUUGAGUAGCUUUCCUCCGCCAUGCCUUUUCUGCUUUGGAGCCAACUGACCACAGACUGAACCCUCUGAAACUGUGAGCCAC